AUAUCAAUAAGCGGAGGAAAAGAAACUAACAAGGAUUCCCCUAGUAACUGCGAGUGAAGCGGGAAAAGCUCAAAUUUAAAAUCUGGCGUUCUUUCGGACGUCCGAGUUGUAAUCUAGAGAAGCGUCUUCCGCGCCGGACCGUGUACAAGUCUCUUGGAAUGGAGCGUCGUAGAGGGUGACAAUCCCGUCUUUGACACGGACCGCCGGUGCUUUUGUGAUGCGCUCUCGAAGAGUCGAGUUGUUUGGGAAUGCAGCUCAAAACGGGUGGUAAAUUCCAUCUAAAGCUAAAUACAGGCGAGAGACCGAUAGCGAACAAGUACCGUGAGGGAAAGAUGAAAAGAACUUUGAAAAGAGAGUUAAACAGUAC
RNAcentral lists this ribosomal RNA (367 nucleotides) under uncultured fungus. RNAcentral describes it as "eukaryotic LSU rRNA". It matches the Rfam family "Eukaryotic large subunit ribosomal RNA", at positions 40 to 398 of the family's 3401-position model. The record is from RNAcentral. Lineage: Eukaryota; Fungi.